Molecule: long non-coding RNA, 2644 nt
Filed under: Gallus gallus (chicken)
Lineage: Eukaryota; Metazoa; Chordata; Aves; Galliformes; Phasianidae
Description: lncRNA (ENSGALG00010014025.1)
Source: RNAcentral
GUCAUCUGGUUGCGCGCGGUGCUUCUUCACUUUCGCUUGCUGCCGGGAGAGGAGUGGGUGUGCUUUCCAAGCCGGGCGCCUUCAUCAAGGUUUUCAAGGGAUACUGAUGCACACGAAACAUGAGGGAACGGGUUCCAGCUUCACAGAAACCAAAGUUAUUGGUUUAUCUUUACUUAAUGCAUGAUCCAGUAAGACAGCCCCCACACAUGGAAUUCAAAUCAGGCUGGCAGGAACACUCAGAAGUCAGACAAAGUUCAGACAUUACAUCCUUAGAAGGACGCUGAAUGCUUAUCUUACUGUUGGAUUGUUUUGGCACUGCUUACGAAUUUGUUACAUAAUUUUCUCUGUUGAAAGGACUGUCUUGGAACAACUACUGAGAUCUGAAGUCUAAAAACUACUCUUGACAUCUGGCUAUGGCAUGAGAAGUUGUAUCACUGUCUACUUCAGUAGGCCACCUGUUCAAGCUGUAUCUGCCUUGCAUGCCCUUUGGCCAGUGAGAAAGAACUACCAAUGCAAAUGUUUUCCCUGCAGUGCAGGAGGAGCUGUGAAGAUGAAAGAAGCACAUUCUUUCCUCACAGUGGAAAUGCAUUAAUAAACCUUCACAAUGGAUGAACAGCAGCAGUGAGGGUACCAACCUUUGAAGAUACUGCUUUUGUCCAGGGGGAGUAAAAUGUGUCCUAAAUAAUAAUAAUAAUAAAUAUAGAGUUAUGUAUGUGUUCUUAAAAUAAGAGUCAAAAUUAUUGGGAAUUAACUUUCUAAAUAACUAAUAUAUUCUGUUACUCAGAAAAUCUGCCCACCAGGAACUACAGGAGUGGAAUAAUUCUAUGAGUCUCACCUGUGUGUAUACUCUUUGCUGACUGCUGCUACCACAGCCUGCGUCUUGAUCCACUGCAAACUGACAGUGGCAGUACGCUUUCAUUUCAGGCUUGACAUGUCUCUUGAUUGAAUUUUUGUUUAGUGUGAGCUGAAACAUGCUCUGAGACAAGAAAGCUGGCUUUUUUAGUAGGAAGGAAGAGGAACUGUAGUGUUGGCCUCAUUCUGGAUAAAACUUGAUUUGGAACUAUUUGUUCUUGAAGAAUUAAUUUUACGUUGGAAUGUAAAUGAACACAUUGGCAUUCUUUUAUAUGAAGUUAUUUUAAGUUAUAUUUACCAUCAGAUUAUAUGAACAUCUAUUUUAUAUAUUUAUUUUUAUUAUUAUUAUUACUUUAUCUUUGCCUGCAUGACCGUCAGGAGAAGAGGCAGGACUAAAGAAAGCAUCCGUGUUUACAGGAACCUUAUCAUCUCACAGCAUUUCACAAAUUCUGCUGUUUACUUCUGCCUAACUACCUUUUUCAUAGGAAACUGGAGAGGGAAGAAGCAGCAGAACUUCUGUAUUUUAAGCACAAGAGCUUUACUCUCACUACCUCUGUACCACAGCAGUGUGCCUCUAUUUUCACCUGGAAAGAAAAACAGGAUGUGAAAAGCAAAUUUAAUAUCUCCUUCUGAGAUUCCUCAGUUUCAUAUUCAUUGAGGAGAGAAUGAAGGAAUAGUUUUUGUUACCAGUUUUCCAGUCAUCUGCACCUUUACCAACCUCCAUUUCUUGGAGAUGUUAUAGUUUAAGCUUCAUUUUCCAAAUAUUCCUUCACUGACCUAGAAGUGUGUUCCAUAUCAGAAUUGACUCAAUACGAAAGUUAAUACUACUCAGAUACAAUUCUUCUCCUUCCAAUGAUUUUCUCUUUUCUCUGUAGUAACAACAACAACAAAACUUUCUGGAGCAAGUCCAGGAGUUAAGGUCAAGAUAAAGAAGCAGCAUUAUGAAAGUUUGUGACACUGCUGAGAGAUCAUGCUGGGAAGGAAUGCCAGCAGGUCAUAGGGACUUCCAGGAGCACUGGGAGAAGAUAGAAGCCUGGGAAGAAUCAGCAGAGGGUUUUAGAUGCUGAACUGCAGACUGAAAGUGGACAUCCUGGAGUGUAUAGUUCAGAAGUCUGUUGGACAGUUUUGAGGCAACUGUUAACAAUGAAGCUUUUUGUCUCCUACUUUUCCUACAUCCACAACAGCAUUUUGUUUCUGUAGGAAAAACCUAGGUAAACUUUGCUACCCAGUCAUACUUAUCUGAGCAUAACUUGUCAAUUAGGACAGCUCUGAUAUAUAGCUAUUUAGUGAUUUUGAAUAUAGGUUGCUGUACCUCUCCCUGAGUUGGCCACUAGGAAGCAUAACGAGCCUACAGGGCAUGUUAGUGGUAAUUUAAAGCUGUUGCAGAACACUGUGAAGAGGCUGAGCUCUGGAAGGCUGGAACCAAGCUCACUGUAACCAAGGUCCACUCGUGCUCAUUGUCUGAGCCUAUUCCUGGGACUGUACUGACCCCUAGUGACUACAACUCUAAUUAAAUAAUUUCCAAAGCCUCUGUAUAAUUAUUAUUUUUACACAAAGUAUUGCUGUACAAAGGAGCUUUCAUUAAAAGGUGUCUCCAUUAGGAGGACAUUAUUAAAAUACUUUUUAAGCAAUGUCUACAGGAAGGGAAAUUUUGCUGUUUUUAUUUUACAAUAACCCAUUAUUUUUUUUCUCAUGUGUGUGCUGACUUAAGACAUACUUUGAUAUAUUAAUAAAUGAACAGCUUAUUUAAAAUACCACUGCUGCUAAGAUCCUGGGAGUCAGUGAUUUUAAU